ACACUCCGUAUUAGCUUUAUAAACUCUCCUCUCGGCAGAGUUGUCCAACUUUGACUUAAUGGCCUGGGAGCAGUAUGGAGCCCCAGUGGGUUAGGCCCCAUUUCUCCUACCACCCCUAGUCCUCUGGUGGGACUAGGGUGAUGGCUUCUGUCCAUAGCAUUGUUCUAACCAGAUGAGAUGCUCUGGGUCAGCUCAGGAGGGCUGUGUUUCCCGACAGAGAAUGGAAAACAAAUAGCCGCCUUCCUCCCCUGAUACGCAGCUGUCAUGAACGCAAGUGCUUGAUCCUGGAUAAGUUUGAAAGCUACGACGAUGAAAUUCAGCUCACCCAAAGAGCCCUGUCUCUGCUGGAAGAAAACAAGUUCUGGGCUGGGGUGGUAUUCCCUGACAUGUAUUCCUGGACCAGCUCCCUGCCACCUCACGUGAAGUAUAAGAUCCGGAUGGACAUAGAUGUAGUGGAGAAAACCAAUAAGAUCAAAGACAGGUACUGGGAU
Tupaia belangeri chinensis (Chinese tree shrew) is the source of this 491-nucleotide long non-coding RNA. RefSeq lists it as uncharacterized. The transcript is spliced from 3 exons. NCBI's taxonomy places the organism in Eukaryota, Metazoa, Chordata, Mammalia, Scandentia, Tupaiidae. The record is from RefSeq and is a predicted model, not a curated record.